UGAGUACGAGAUGCUACGGCAUCGAAGCAGUCUAUGUCAUACUUCCAAGAAAAGCUUGCAAUGUCAUAAACAAAUAAUGCCUGUACCAUAACCGACACAGGUGGGUAGGUAGAGUAUACUAAGGGGCGCGAGAUAACUCUCUCUAAGGAACUCGGCAAAAUGACUCCGUAACUUCGGGAGAAGGAGUGCCUUAUUUUUAUAAGGUUGCAAUAACAAGAUCCAAGCAACUGUUUACCAAAAACACAGGUCUCCGCUAAGUCGUAAGACGAUGUAUGGGGGCUGACGCCUGCCCAGUGCCAGAAGGUUAAAGAAGUUGGUUAGCAUUAGCGAAGCUGAUAACUGAAGCCCUGGUGAACGGCGGCCGUAACCAUAACGGUCCUAAGGUAGCGAAAUUCCUUGUCGGGUAAGUUCCGACCCGCACGAAAGGCGUAAUGAUUUGGAUACUGUCUCGGAGAGGGGCUCGGUGAAAUAGACUUGUCUGUGAAGAUGCGGACUACCUGCACCUGGACAGAAAGACCCUAUGAAGCUUUACUGUAACUUGAGAUUGAAAUUGGACUUUAUCUGCGCAGUAUAGGUGGGAGACGUUGAAAAUAUUCUUGCGGGAAUAUUGGAGUCAUCAGUGAGAUACCACUCUUAUAAUGUUAGAUUUCUAACUUUGUAUCAUUAUCUGGUCAAAGAACAGUUUCAGGCGGGCAGUUUGACUGGGGCGGUCGCCUCCCAAACGGUAACGGAGGCGCACAAAGGUUUCCUCUGAACGUGUAGAAAUCGUAUCUAGAGUGUAAAGGCAUAAGGAAGCUUGACUGUGAGACCUACAGGUCGAGCAGGGACGAAAGUCGGUCUUAGUGAUCUGACGGUGCUGAGUGGAAAGGCCGUCACUCAACGGAUAAAAGUUACUCUAAGGAUAACAGGCUGAUCUCCCCCAAGAGUUCACAUCGACGGGGAGGUUUGGCACCUCGAUGUCGGCUCAUCGCAUCCUGGGGCGGUAGUACGUCCCAAGGGUUGGGCUGUUCGCCCAUGAAAGCGGUACGCGAGCUGGGUUCAGAACGUCGUGAGACAGUUCGGUCCAUAUCCGGUGUAGGCGUUAGAAUAUUGAGAGGAGCCUUCUUUAGUACGAGAGGACCGAGAAGGACAUACCUCUGGUGUACCAGUUAUCGUGCCAACGGUAAACGCUGGGUAGCCAUGUAUGGAGAGGAUAACCGCUGAAAGCAUCUAAGUGGGAAGCCCACCUCAAGAUAAG
RNAcentral lists this ribosomal RNA (1237 nucleotides) under metagenome. Its description in RNAcentral is "bacterial LSU rRNA". It matches the Rfam family "Bacterial large subunit ribosomal RNA", at positions 1564 to 2808 of the family's 2925-position model. The record is from RNAcentral.